ACUUAUUUAGUAUAUAAAAGUAUAUAAAGCUUCCAACUUUAAGGUUUAAUUUAAAAUAAGUA
This 62-nucleotide transfer RNA is filed under the name Olidiana tongmaiensis. RNAcentral's name for it is "tRNA-Gly". The record is from RNAcentral. Lineage: Eukaryota; Metazoa; Arthropoda; Insecta; Hemiptera; Cicadellidae.